This 1014-nucleotide ribosomal RNA is filed under the name Triticum aestivum (bread wheat). Its description in RNAcentral is "partial small subunit ribosomal RNA". Lineage: Eukaryota; Viridiplantae; Streptophyta; Magnoliopsida; Poales; Poaceae. The record is from RNAcentral.
AUGGGGCGGUCGCCGUGCUGCAACGGGGAGGCGGGCGUGAAGAAGGGCCCGUGGACGCCCGAGGAGGACAAGCUGCUGGUGGACUACAUCCAGGAGAAGGGCCACGGCAGCUGGCGCCGCCUGCCCAAGCUCGCCGGCCUUAACCGCUGUGGCAAGAGCUGCCGCCUCCGCUGGACUAACUACCUCCGCCCCGACAUCAAGCGCGGACGCUUCACCGACGACGAGGAGAAGCUCAUCAUCCACCUCCACUCCCUCCUCGGCAACAAGUGGUCGUCGAUUGCUACGAAGCUGCCAGGGAGGACGGACAACGAGAUCAAGAACUACUGGAACACACACCUGCGCAAGAAGCUCCUCGGCAUGGGCAUCGACCCCGUCACGCACCGCCCGCGCACCGACCUCAGCCUGCUCGCCGGGCUCCCGGGCCUCCUCGCGGCAGCCAGUAACUUCGGCGGCUCCGGUGUGGCCACGGCCGCCUGGGACAUUAACGCGCUCAAGCUCCAGGUGGACGCCGCCAAGUUCCAGCUGCUACAGGGACUCGUGCGCGCGCUCACCACCGCGGCGGGUCCCGCGCCCGCGCCGGGCAUGGACAACCUCAUGGCGCUCCUCGCCCUCAGCAACGGCGGGCUACACGGCGGAACCGACCAGAACAUGCUCCAGCAGUGCCAGUGGAACGAGAUGAACAACCUGCCGGCGCUGACCAGCUCAGCGCCAACGAGCGGCAUGCACAACAUCAGCGGCAUGUUGGACGGCUUCAGCGCCGGCGACGGGCUGAGCUCAACGGAGCUUGGGGACCACGACGGGGCGAGCGGGAGCAACGUGACCAUUUAUCCAAUGGUAGCCGACGACCAGGAGUGCAAGAACAAUGGCGGCGGCGGCAUGUCGUGCGAGCAGACGCCGGCGUCGAGCCCUUUCGACGGGCUAGAGAGCCUGAACCUGAUGGACGACCUCAACACGGAUGGUGGUUGGAAGGAUUUGCUAGAGCAAAUUUCAUGGCUGAAUUCAAGUGAGCUGUGA